UACAGAGACUGCAAGCGUUACUCGGAUUCACUGGGCGUAAAGGGAGCGCAGGUGGGCAGGUGUGUCGGGUGUGAAAUCCCGGGGCUUAACUCCGGAACGGCACCCGAAACUAUCUGCCUGGAGGAUUGGAGAGGUGGGCGGAAUUCCAGGUGUAGCGGUGAAAUGCGUAGAUAUCUGGAAGAACACCGACGGCGAAGGCAACCCACUGGACAAAUCCUGACACUCAGGCUCGAAAGUAUGGGGAGCAAAAGGG
This 253-nucleotide ribosomal RNA is filed under the name uncultured bacterium. Its description in RNAcentral is "partial 16S ribosomal RNA". It matches the Rfam family "Bacterial small subunit ribosomal RNA", at positions 524 to 776 of the family's 1533-position model. The record is from RNAcentral.